GUGGGGAAUCUUCCACAAUGGACGAAAGUCUGAUGGAGCAACGCCGCGUGAGUGAAGAAGGGUUUCGGCUCGUAAAGCUCUGUUGUCGGGGACGAAUGUGCAGUAUUUGAAUAAAGUAGUGCAAUGACGGUACCUGACGAGGAAGCCACGGCUAACUACGUGCCAGCAGCCGCGGUAAUACGUAGGUGGCAAGCGUUGUCCGGAAUUAUUGGGCGUAAAGGGAGCGCAGGCGGGAAGGUAAGUCGGUCUUAAAAGUGCGGGGCUCAACCCCGUGAUGGGAUCGAAACUAUCUUUCUUGAGUGCAGGAGAGGAAAGUGGAAUUCCUAGUGUAGCGGUGAAAUGCGUAGAUAUUAGGAGGAACACCAGUGGCGAAGGCGACUUUCUGGACGAAAACUGACGCUGAGGCGCGAAAGCCAGGGGAGCGAACGGGAUUAGAAACCCUUGUAGUCC
Molecule: ribosomal RNA, 450 nt
Filed under: uncultured bacterium
Lineage: Bacteria
Description: partial 16S ribosomal RNA
Rfam family: Bacterial small subunit ribosomal RNA
Source: RNAcentral